RNAcentral lists this ribosomal RNA (253 nucleotides) under uncultured bacterium. RNAcentral describes it as "partial 16S ribosomal RNA". It matches the Rfam family "Bacterial small subunit ribosomal RNA", at positions 524 to 776 of the family's 1533-position model. The record is from RNAcentral.
UACGUAUGGUGCAAGCGUUAUCCGGAUUUACUGGGUGUAAAGGGAGCGCAGGCGGCGCGUUAAGCCUGGUGUGAAAGCCCGCGGCCCAACCGCGGGACUGCAUUGGGAACUGGCGCGCUGGAGUGCCGGAGGGGUAGGCGGAAUCCCUAGUGUAGCGGUGAAAUGCGUAGAUAUUAGGAGGAACACCAGUGGCGAAGGCGGCCUACUGGACGGUGACUGACGCUGAGGCUCGAAAGCGUGGGGAGCAAACAGG